GCUGGUUUGGUGUAGUGGUAUCAAUCAUACAUGAUUCCCAUUCAUGUGACGUGGGUUCGAUUCCCGCAAUCAGCA
This 75-nucleotide transfer RNA is filed under the name Orchesella cincta. It matches the Rfam family "tRNA". From Rfam's summary of the family: Transfer RNA (tRNA) molecules are approximately 80 nucleotides in length. Their secondary structure includes four short double-helical elements and three loops (D, anti-codon, and T loops). Further hydrogen bonds mediate the characteristic L-shaped molecular structure. tRNAs have two regions of fundamental functional importance: the anti-codon, which is responsible for specific mRNA codon recognition, and the 3' end, to which the tRNAs corresponding amino acid is attached (by aminoacyl-tRNA synthetases). tRNAs cope with the degeneracy of the genetic code in two manners: having more than one tRNA (with a specific anti-codon) for a particular amino acid; and 'wobble' base-pairing, i.e. permitting non-standard base-pairing at the 3rd anti-codon position. Lineage: Eukaryota; Metazoa; Arthropoda; Collembola; Entomobryomorpha; Orchesellidae. The record is from Rfam by way of RNAcentral.